UAUGUCACAGUCUCUGCGAAUGGCUUUCUCUUGUUGGUUUUCCUAAUCAUGGGACUGUUGGCUAGUUUAAUCUGCUUUCUUUUUCCACAUAUCAUUGAUUCUGUGCACUGACUUGCUCACUAAUUAUUGGACCUCAUUAAGUAAAUCUUUCAACUUCAUUAAGCCAUAAUUACUUCAUCAAUUGACCGUAAUCAUCAUUAAAGUAUGCACUAUAUGAUGCUUAUAAAUGUCACAACUUAAUUGCCGG
This 247-nucleotide long non-coding RNA is filed under the name Elaeis guineensis (African oil palm). RNAcentral's name for it is "long non-coding RNA (EGUI_LNC022646)". The record is from RNAcentral. Lineage: Eukaryota; Viridiplantae; Streptophyta; Magnoliopsida; Arecales; Arecaceae.